Molecule: non-coding RNA, 100 nt
Organism: Pelobates cultripes (western spadefoot toad)
Lineage: Eukaryota; Metazoa; Chordata; Amphibia; Anura; Pelobatidae
Source: the annotation of a GenBank genome assembly
UGUGUGUGUUAGAGUGUGUGUGUGUUAGUGUGUGUGUGUUAACACUAACACACUCUAUCAGUAACACACACUCUAACACACACACUCUAACACACACACU